AAAAACUAGACAUGUAAAGGGAGUCGCGCCAGCAUAUUUAGGCACACGGGCCAAUGUUUUCCGGCCAGCACGACCUAGCAGUUUCUAAAACUCGUUUACAUACUGCAUCUCACCCUGGGUGGCCCAGUCGACCUUCCAUGUCUAAUUCUGACCGAGACAACCCUCUAUGUCAAGUGGGUCGUGCCAGUACAUUUAGGCAUCGGGCCACUUGGGUCCCACCCAUACCUGGCAGUUCUUAAAUCUGUUUUCGAAACACUUCUGUCCAAGGCUGCAGCCCGGCCAUGGCCUGAUUUUAAGGUGGGCGGCCCGUGCCUACUUAUGACUGAGACUAGCCUCUUUAAAUGACUCUAGCCAGGCCGCCCGUGCCUACUUAUGACUGAGACUAGCCUCUUUAAAUGACUCUAGCCUUGCUGCCAAAGAGUGUCG
Molecule: long non-coding RNA, 426 nt
Filed under: Olea europaea (common olive)
Lineage: Eukaryota; Viridiplantae; Streptophyta; Magnoliopsida; Lamiales; Oleaceae
Description: long non-coding RNA (OEUR_LNC011851)
Source: RNAcentral